Long non-coding RNA from Dendroctonus ponderosae (mountain pine beetle), 899 nucleotides. RefSeq lists it as uncharacterized. Lineage: Eukaryota; Metazoa; Arthropoda; Insecta; Coleoptera; Curculionidae. The transcript has 3 exons. The record is from RefSeq and is a predicted model, not a curated record.
AUUGAUUUUGAUUUGGAAAUAAAUAAUACCAAGUCGUGUUCUUAUAUGUAAUUUAUUGUAAGAAUGCUCAACCGGAAUGUUUUGAAAUUGGCAUUUCCUUUGAGAUGAUAUCCCUUCAGCUAAUUAGUAGAUGGUGGAAGAAGCGAAGCAGCUAAAACCUCGAUUACCAAAUUCAUUACCACAAAGCAGCCUCUGUUCGUAUUCCCAAGAUGUUCAUUCAACAUUCAACAUAAGGCAGCAUCACUAUCAGAUCAGUUAGAUUCGAUGCCAUCAAAAGGAGCUUUUUCGCAAAAUGUCCAAGUUACUCAAUGUAUAAUUCGUGCGAGGUAAAGCCAUUACAAAAGUUGACCUUAGUUCAAGAUGAGAGACGGUUAAAGAUGACUUCAGUGCCGGCAAGCAGAGUCUUGUUAUUAGUAAUAAUUUAUUGAUUGGCGUUUCAUCAUUUCAGUAUAAUUGACUCUUUAAAGAUAUUGUUUCAAUGGCGAUGCCGAGAAUUACGUCAGCCUCUGUAAGAACCCUACAGUUUACUUUUUAGGAUGGGUCAACAGAAAUUAUAGAAUAUUAAAACAAAAACACUUUAGUAACGUUAAUGUGAAAACUGUUUGAAAUAAAUUUUAGGCCUAACAAUGGCGUAGGAAAAACUCUGAUAACGAUUUUGAAAAUAACUUUCAAUAGCUUUCCAUUAAUGUGGCAGAGAAUCAUAUUUAUCAAUUUUUUUUCUUGUUAGCUACUAUACUAAGUUAAGAAAAAACAAUCAUUUACAGUAGACAAAUUGAUCACUCACAAAACAAAAUAUAUACAAUCUAUCUUUGAUCUUAAUGGCAUAAAUCAUAAGACGUGCGAAGCUAGUCAAAAUAAGAUUAAGCCCAGAUAGCUAUAAUAUAUGUUUUAACCUACUU